RNAcentral lists this ribosomal RNA (372 nucleotides) under uncultured bacterium. RNAcentral describes it as "bacterial SSU rRNA". It matches the Rfam family "Bacterial small subunit ribosomal RNA", at positions 524 to 898 of the family's 1533-position model. The record is from RNAcentral.
UACGUAGGGAGCAAGCGUUGUCCGGAUUCACUGGGUGUAAAGGGUGCGCAGGCGGGUUGGCAAGUCAGAGGUGAAAUCUCACAGCUUAACUGUGAAACUGCCUUUGAUACUUCCAAUCUUGAGUUAAAGAGAGGUUGAUGGAAUUUCAGGUGUAGCGGUGAAAUGCGUAGAUAUCUGAAAGAACACCAGUGGCGAAGGCGGUCAACUGGCUUUUAACUGACGCUCAGGCACGAAAGCGUGGGUAGCGAACAGGAUUAGAUACCCUGGUAGUCCACGCCCUAAACGAUGAAUACUUGGUGUUGGACCGUAAGGUUCAGUGCCGUAGGUAACCUGUUAAGUAUUCCACCUGGGGAGUACGCCCGCAAGGGUGAA